This 433-nucleotide ribosomal RNA is filed under the name uncultured bacterium. Its description in RNAcentral is "partial 16S ribosomal RNA". It matches the Rfam family "Bacterial small subunit ribosomal RNA", at positions 29 to 507 of the family's 1533-position model. The record is from RNAcentral.
AACGAACGCUGGCGGCAUGCCUAACACAUGCAAGUCGAACGAGACCUUCGGGUCUAGUGGCGCACGGGUGCGUAACGCGUGGGAACCUGCCCUUAGGUUCGGAAUAACUCCCCGAAAGGGGUGCUAAUACCGGAUAAUGUCUUCGGACCAAAGAUUUAUCGCCUUUGGAUGGGCCCGCGUUGGAUUAGCUAGUUGGUAGGGUAAAAGCCUACCAAGGCGACGAUCCAUAGCUGGUCUGAGAGGAUGAUCAGCCACACUGGGACUGAGACACGGCCCAGACUCCUACGGGAGGCAGCAGUGGGGAAUAUUGGAAAAUGGGCGGAAGCCUGAUCCAGCAAUGCCGCGUGAGUGAUGAAGGCCUUAGGGUUGUAAAGCUCUUUUACCCGGGAUGAUAAUGACAGUACCGGGAGAAUAAGCUCCGGCUAACUCCGUG